RNAcentral lists this long non-coding RNA (1395 nucleotides) under Junco hyemalis (dark-eyed junco). RNAcentral's name for it is "lncRNA (ENSJHYG00000009998.1)". The record is from RNAcentral. Lineage: Eukaryota; Metazoa; Chordata; Aves; Passeriformes; Passerellidae.
UGAGCUGCUAUCUUCCAGAUCUGCACAGCCUUCAGUUUUGGUGCCCAGGAAUGCAGAGGGGGUAAUUUUUUUUUUUUUUUUUUUUUUGGUAAUUGCACAGUACAAUUUAGCUGUAAGAGGCAGUCAACUGCCUUGUAGGUAAGUGGGUGAAGAAAAUUGUCACUGGUGCUAUGUUCAUGUGUUUAUGAGGCUCUGUCCAGUGUCACCUGACCCAAAGUCAUUCCCAAAACCACUGUUAGGAUCACUCACAUGCUGACAAUGCACUGGGAAGUAUCUCAGAGGGGUAGAGGACACUGAAAACAGCUGCUCAUAUGUCUUCUUCCAGACAUGCUUUUUCCUGUGUCAGCUUGUGUUCUCACAUUUUUCUCUUGCUUCUGGACAGGACAGUAUUUUUAAGCCUAAAAGAAUUGUGUUUUAAAGUGAUAACUCUAUAAAUAAAUAGCUAACACCCAGAUGACUUUGGUCAAGAAAGAGAAAAAUGUGACAGUUGGCCACUGCAGGAAGCCAGUUCCCAGGACCUGGAUUUUAUGAGGUGCUGGAAAUAGGGGUAGUACUUUGUCUGACUGGAGACUCCUGUCCUCCUUUUGCUGCCUAAGUUGCUGUAUGUGAUUUCUGUUGUGAGAUGUGUGGGUUUGUCAUAUGUGGAAAUGAACUGGUGCCUCACACAUUCUAAGGACGGGUUUGGGCACACGCACACACAAUUUACUCUUUAACUUUCUCCCUCUCAAAAUCCCUGGGCACUUGCACCACGGUGUGAAGCUGCUGCUGUGGCUUAGUUCAGUUGUGCUGUUUUAUAGCCUUGCUUUUGACCAGUUACCAAUUCCCUCUGAUUUUUGCUUUAAUUGCCAGGGGGACAAAGGUGCGAUGGGAAUCCCUGGGCGGCCGGGUGCUCCAGGAGAAGCUGGCAUGUCCAUCAUCGGGCCCCGUGGCCCACCCGGACAGCCUGGAACAAGAGGUUUUCCUGGAUUCCCGGGCCCUAUUGGCUUGGAUGGCAAACCGGGGCAUCCUGGACAGAAGGGAGAGAUGGUAAAAAUCCAUCUGUUUGUGUGUGGGUGAUGGGUUGGUUUGCAAUGAUGUUGUGCCUCAGCUGGAAACAAGCUCAGGGGCAGGGUAGCAAUCUUCCCUCAGCUGAUGCACUAGCUGCAUCCCUAAUUCUGUAACUUCAUAAUAGCAGGGCUGGGAUGCAUGUCUGUAAUUUUUGCAUUAUGGCUAGCACAUUCGUCAUGUCACAACAGCAACUCUCUAGUUAGGCAUGGGAUGUGUUUUCCUUGCACUUAGCAAUUAUGUUCUUUAAAUAUAUUCUGGGAGCUGACAUUUUUUGUGGUUGGCCUCAUAGGACAAGUAAAAGUUGAUGGAAAGAUUUCUGAAAACCCAUCUGGCAGCUUUCAACUUAUC